Molecule: ribosomal RNA, 463 nt
Filed under: uncultured bacterium
Lineage: Bacteria
Description: bacterial SSU rRNA
Rfam family: Bacterial small subunit ribosomal RNA
Source: RNAcentral
AACGACGCUGGCGGCAUGGAUUAGGCAUGCAAGUCGAACGGUUUGGCAGGGGCAACUCUGCCAGACAGUGGCGAAAGGGUGAGGAACACGUGAGUAACCUGCCCCUAAGUUGGGAAUAGCUCCGGGAAACUGGGAUUAAUACCGAAUGUGGAUACAACUUCGCAUGUUGUUGUAUCUAAAGAUUUAUCGCUUAGGGAUGGGCUCGCGUCCCAUUAGCUAGUUGGUAGGGUAACGGCCUACCAAGGCAUUGAUGGGUAGCUGGUCUGAGAGGAUGGUCAGCCACACUGGGACUGAGACACUGCCCAGACUCCUACGGGAGGCUGCAGUCGAGAAUCUUCCGCAAUGCGCGAAAGCGUGACGGAGCGAUGCCGCGUGCAGGAUGAAGGCCUUCGGGUCGUAAACUGCUGUCACCAGGGACGAAUCAAUGACGGUACCUGGAGAGGAAGCCACGGCUAACUACGUG